GAUGAACGCUGGCGGCGUGCCUAAUACAUGCAAGUCGAGCGAACGGACGAGAAGCUUGCUUCUCUGAUGUUAGCGGCGGACGGGUGAGUAACACGUGGAUAACCUACCUAUAAGACUGGGAUAACUUCGGGAAACCGGAGCUAAUACCGGAUAAUAUUUUGAACCGCAUGGUUCAAAAGUGAAAGACGGUCUUGCUGUCACUUAUAGAUGGAUCCGCGCUGCAUUAGCUAGUUGGUAAGGUAACGGCUUACCAAGGCAACGAUGCAUAGCCGACCUGAGAGGGUGAUCGGCCACACUGGAACUGAGACACGGUCCAGACUCCUACGGGAGGCAGCAGCAGGGAAUCUUCCGCAAUGGGCGAAAGCCUGACGGAGCAACGCCGCGUGAGUGAUGAAGGUCUUCGGAUCGUAAAACUCUGUUAUUAGGGAAGAACAUAUGUGUAAGUAACUGUGCACAUCUUGACGGUACCUAAUCAGAAAGCCACGGCUAACUACGU
Molecule: ribosomal RNA, 496 nt
Filed under: uncultured bacterium
Lineage: Bacteria
Description: partial 16S ribosomal RNA
Rfam family: Bacterial small subunit ribosomal RNA
Source: RNAcentral